UUUUAGGCAGUUUUAUACUGCUUCUCUGUAUGCAAACAUGCACUCAUACCCAUUGUACAGAUGUGGAUAUAAACAGGAAAUCUGUCUUAAGCAUUCAUCUAAGCAACCAGCAAACACAGGGUUACAUUGCAACUGGUUCCAUAGUCCAGUGGGAAUCAAACUGGUCAUUGAUCUAAUCGCAUACCUGCAAAUGAGGCCUUUGAAUGACUGGCAGCCUUCUUCUGUGGUGUGUGUAUAUUGACAGUCGUUGGAUCUGCUAAAGUCACCCUGCCGAUGUCCUCAUCUUCAUUGGACGUCCUCAAUCACUGCAUGUGUUGCUCUUUUUUCCUUCCUGGGGUAAGCUGCAGCAUUGGGACACAAAGUGCUUCUGUUUCCCACAACCCUGGCCCUGUUUCCUAUAGACUGGGUAUUUUUCUUUCUGCCUUCUUUUGUGGCUUUUUGUGAUACA
This is a long non-coding RNA of Dermochelys coriacea (leatherback sea turtle), 448 nucleotides long. RefSeq lists it as uncharacterized. The transcript has 3 exons. The record is from RefSeq and is a predicted model, not a curated record. Lineage: Eukaryota; Metazoa; Chordata; Testudines; Dermochelyidae.